UAUUAUUUAGUAAUAUUAUUAAAAAUUAUAAAAAUAUACAAUUAAUUAAUUAUUAAUUGAUUUAAUAAUUAAUUAAUUAAUUAUUAAAAUUAUAAAAAUUAUAAAAAUAUACAAUUAAUUAAUUAUUAAUUAAUUUAAUUUAGAUAAUGCUAUAAAAAAUUUCAACAUUUUUUUAGAAAAAAGGGAAAGAGAACAUAGGUUAGAGAGAGAGAACAUAAUUAAAGAAAUAGAAAGAGAAAUAGAGUCGAGGUUUGAGAGAGUGAGAGAGUUGAGGCUUUAGAAAAAUAGAGGUAGAGCUUAGUUUAGAGAGAGAAAAAAAGUUAAAGUUUAGAGAGUAAAAGAUAAGUUUAGAGAGAGAUAUGAGAUUAAAGUGUAAAAAAAAAUAAUACCAACUAGUCGGCGGAUAGGAAGAAAGAAAGAGAUUAGGCAUUUUAUGAUUAUUCAAAUCCAUUAAUAUGAAGAUACCCACCAUCUCUCAAGGGAAUGAAAUUAGUACUUUGGGAUGAAUCUCAUUCCCAAGUAAAUCCAAUAUUACCAAUUAAAUUACUUAGUGUGUUUAGCCAAACACCGUCAUAUUUUUUUAUUCUUAUUUGAUUACUAGUAAUCUUAAAAAGAUAGCACGAACCAAACGCACUCUAAUGGUAAUGCAUAUCAAAUUAAGUA
This 663-nucleotide long non-coding RNA is filed under the name Ananas comosus (pineapple). Its description in RNAcentral is "long non-coding RNA (ACOM_LNC034037)". Lineage: Eukaryota; Viridiplantae; Streptophyta; Magnoliopsida; Poales; Bromeliaceae. The record is from RNAcentral.